Molecule: long non-coding RNA, 15073 nt
Filed under: Marmota monax (woodchuck)
Lineage: Eukaryota; Metazoa; Chordata; Mammalia; Rodentia; Sciuridae
Source: RNAcentral
AACACAGGUCUGUCCAGGAUCCUUGAUGCAUUAGCAACGGGAGAAGCCUGGGCCAAAUGCCUGGUUACUCAUUAGCCAACCCCAGAGCUUCUUUCUGCAAGGAAGGACGAGGGGAGCCAUUAACCCAUCUGAAAGAAAGGCCAAGCUAAACAUCUAAGUCUGCAGUGCAGAAAGACAAGGUGGGUUUCUGGAGCCUUCCCUCAGACAAUCAGGGGGAAGUCCAGGGGAUGGAAAAGGACAGGAGGGGCGUGCGACUAUUUAUAGGAACUUUUUCACCUAUUGUGUCCAUUCACCCCGACAUGCCCGCCAAAAGGGGAAAGGGUGACAUCCCCACCUCCCAUUUUGUCUCAGUGAAAACCGGAGCUCAAACAGGUUAAGUGCGUUGCCCAAGGUCACCAAGAGUCUCCAAAGAAAAAGCUUAUUUUGUGUGCAACAGGUAUAGCCCUUCCCUUUCCAAAAGGUAAUGGCUGCUCCUGGCUAGAGAAAGUUCAGUCCUGGCCUGCAGGAAGCCCUAAGCGCUGAGGUGCCGUGCGGAGGUCACAAGCCCGCUCCCGGACACUCAGACACGAAGAACAGGGUUGAGGGCGCCGCGCCUCGAUUCCGAGGCCAGUGCGUGCAGCGCUGGGAGGGUGUGGAAAGGUCAGGCUAGAGUGCGGGUCAAUGGGCAGCUUCCCUUCCCAGGGGCCCCGCCCGUGUCCCCGGGCGCCACCCGCCACCGGGGCGGGCACCACAUGGGCCUGUCUGGAGCAGGGGGACUGAGCCUCCAUCUCAUUAGGUCCUCCUCUGCCCUGGGAAGACGAGCGGACGGAGCGCAGGCCCCGCAGGGAGGACGCGUGCAGAGCCCCCGGGGCCAGCGCGCUGCCCUCCGCCCACCCGCGCUGUCCCCAAGGCCUGCGCGCCCCGGCCCCCGCCCCGCCCGGCGCCCGGGCUGCCCACGGUCCACCUCCCGGGCCUCCAACCCGCACGGAUGUCCAGCUCUUAGCAGCUGCAUGCUGGGUACCCCGGAUUUCCAGCGAUCCCCCAGCUGCUGGCCACCAGAUCUCUCGGAAUUCACUCCCCAGGCUCGGACCCGCGUGGAGGGGGAGGGAUCCACUCUCAAUUGCCAAUCACCCUCCGCGUCACUGCCUGGCUGGGGACCCAGGGGGACCCCAGGCCGCCGGCGCCCGAUCCCUCCUGGGAUCGACUCCCAAGUGGCCAACCGGGUGGCGCGGGAUCCAUUGGUGGCCCGGUGCGGGAUCUUCCAGCGGGAUCCACUCCCAAGUCUCGGGAGACGGAUUCCCCGGGUCCCAAGCCGGGCAGCCCCUCCCCGCGGCCCCGGAGCCCGGGGAUCCACUGGGUCCCCGCCUCUUCCACGGCCAACUUUGCCAACUUCCCCCCCCCACCCCCCGGCCUCGGCCAGGCAGAAACUUGGCGGCCCUCGCCCGAAGCCGCCUCCGCAGCCCGCUAGCGGCUCGGGACUGGGGGCGGUUCGCCAGCGCCCACCCCCGCGGCCGCCGCGCAACCUACCCUGGCGCCGCCGCCAGCCCGCGCCGCGCCGCCACCUGCCCGCGGCCGCCGCACCUGCCCGCGCCGGCCCCGCGCAGCCUAGCCUGCUGGGGGCGGGGCCUCGCGCGGGAAGCGCCCCGUCGCCAUGGGAACCGGAGCCCGCGGCGCCUGCGCGGAGAGCACGGGCGGAGAGCGGCCGCCGGACCCUAUCCGCCCUGGGGAACCUGGGCCUGGGGCUGUUUGCCGGGUCGGAGGUCAUCCCUCCCGACCCUCAAACCGUGACCCCGCCGCGUCCCCAGAGCCAUCCCAGGCACGAGUCGGAAAGCCCCGCGACGGGCACCGACCGGCAGCCGGGUGCGUGUCCCCCAGCGCCCCAGGCCGCCGGGCAAUUCAGGGGGCUCUGGGCGAGGGCAGGUCACACAGCGCCUGGACUGCGGGCGCCGGCCAGGAGUCGCGAGAUCUGCUCGGGGUGCUGGCACCCCCUGGCGGCGGGCUUGGGGACUGCACCUAUGUCCUCGGCGAGGCGCGCAUCCUACUGUGAGCCAAGCCACUGCCUUGUUGUUGCGGAAGGAAAUGAUGAAUGUAGGCUUGUGUAUCAGUUGAGAAAAUCGUAGGAAGUCGCCCCUGGGAUGGGAGGUGCCUGUCCUGCGUCCUGUUAACGGAGAUCCACUGUGUUGCGCAGGCUGGCCUGGAAUUCCUGGGCUCAAUCAAUCCUCCUGCCUCAGCCUCCGCAGUAGCUGGGACUGCAGGCGCGCGCCACUGUGCCCAGCCAGCGUAUCCUUAUGAAGCACCCCCCCUCUUUGCUGCGUGCUGGGGAUAUGGCACUGAAGCAACUGGCAGCAUCCUGGCUCUUGGAGCUUACAGAUUUUUUUUUGCGGGGUGGGGGAGGGGUGAACAAGUAUAUUGAAUUGCAUUUGUGACUCUGCUGCUAAGGAGAAUUUCUGAGCAUGGGUAACUGGAGGACCUGACAUCAUUUGUGCCUUUAAGUCAGCUAGACCUCGAUAUAGUUGAGAGAGAGAAGAACAUCACACUGUGUGACUUCUGGAGAACUGCAGGAACACUCUCUCGCUUCAUCUUUACCUCAGGUUGUUGGUGUGUACAAAGGGCAGUUCACGCGAUUGCCUUGUUGGGACCACCACCCAUCUAUCCCCUUAUACUGAGGAACUACCUAGGGCUCCCCAAGAGACUUGUCGCAAUGACAGAACCCAGAAAUGAUGAGAAAGAGGACCUGUGACGUCUUAUAUCUUAGGAUAUUCUCCUUGAUCAUGAUGUCAUGAACACAGUCACCAACAGGACCCAUCUCAGUGGUUUUUAUGUAGGACCACCAGUACCUCUUUAAGACAGGAAACAGAGGAUGAUUGGAAUGAAAUCUCAAAAUCUGUCUUCUUUAUUGUGAAACAAAAUCUCUCUAAGUUGCUUUGGACCUUGCUAUAUUCUGAGGCUGGUCUCAAACUUUCCAUCCUUCUGCCUCAGCCUCCAGAAUUGCUGGGAGCCUCCUGGAAGGGACGUAUGUUUACUCCUGAUUCUUUUUUUUUUUUUUAAGAGAGAGUGAGAGAAUUUUAAUAUUUAUUUUUUAGUUUUCGGCAGACACAACAUCUUUGUUUGUAUGUGGUGCUGAGGAUCAAACCCUGGCCGCACACAUGCCAGGCGAGUGCGCUACCCGUUGAGCUACAUCCCCAGCCCCUACUCCUGAUUCUUAUUGCUUUGUACAGAUUAGGCACAUAACAGGUAGCACUCUGAAUGGACGUAAAACCACAAGUGAGCAACACUUGCUAAGGUACCAUCUGCGGCCUCUCCUGUCUAACCUUAUAGGAACUUUCCAUUUCUCCUUGAUAGGACCAGAAUGCAUGGGCUGGAGGUUAUGCCAAAUGGAUGUUCUGUUUCUCAGUCCUUCCACUUGCCAUCUCCUCUCCAUCCCAGAAUGUAAGCAGAAAAGGGGACAAGACAGUAUUCCUCCUGAGACCUCUAACCCAGAUGUCUCCCCACUGGUGACCUCCCUGUCCCCCAUUCUGACAUGUCAGCUCUUCUCCCACCAUCAAGGUUUAAGGGAUUUCCAGAAGCACCUAACUACAACUCCCAGAAUCCUUCUGGAUGCACAGGGGGUGGGACUUCCUGGUCCAGCCCCUCCUUACUUCCCCCUGCACUCCAGUACCCUCCCUCUCAGUUCUGACUCCCAAGAGGUGUCAGGUUCAGGUUGUUUCCAGAAUCAAACUCUGACCCCUCAGGGUAGCCCUGACUUUCCUCUUCCUGAGGACAAAGGACAGUGCCAACCAGGGUCUGUCCUGGGACCCCUUCUCGGCCAUCUUCUGCCUCCUCCUUCAGGAAGUGUGUCCUGAUUCGGCUGCCAGUGCUCAGGCUCUCUGGUGGCUGUGUCCCCUAGAGCUUCCUCCAGUGAUGGAGCGUCCUGUGUCUGCGCUGAACACCAUUAGCCCCUGGUAACCACUGGUGACCACUGAAAAGGUGGCCUGAGAGAUGGAGGGGCUGAAUUUUAAAUUUUAUUUUGUGUUUAAUUCAUUUGAAUGUGAACCGCCCCCCCUGCCCGCCCCCCACCACGUCCACUGCUUGGAACCGUCUGGCCCGGGAGACCACCCACCGCUUGGCCAAGGUCCUGGCCACGCAUCCCUGUGGGUGGCACAUUGAUUCAUUUUGUUUUUCUUGUCAUUCACACUUCUUGAGGGUGAGAGCCAGUGUAUUCUUCAGGAUUUUCUCUCAACCCAGACCUUUGCCCAUGCCGUGUCCCCUGCCAGGAAGACUUCGCCCUCUGCCUGCCUGUCAUCUGGUUAAUGACUCCAUGUCCCUCCGAUCUUGGCUGUGACUUCAAUUCCUCCCAGAGCCAUCCCCGACUACCGAGGCGGGUUAGAUGCCAAAGCCUCUGAAUCUUGUAUGACUCCCCCACCUCCAUGAACGCCCGGAUUGCACUGGGGUAUAAUUACCAGUUUUUUCUCUGCCUCGCCUUCUAGAGCAUGAGGACGCGGAGGGCAGGGACCAGCAGGAUAACUGAAACGGAGCUGACCCUUGAUAAAUAUUCAUGGAACUCAGUGUCGAAUACAUGUUUUCAUAUGAUGGGAUCCCGUGGCUGGUGGACAGUAAUGAUAUUAAUAUACACUGUCAUUGAUUAAGUCAAAUGCUUUGCCUGUGCUGUCUCAUUAGAUGUCACAACGAUUCAGUGAGAGAUGAUCUAUUACAAUCUCCUUUUCACAGAUGAGGGAUCUGAAGCUCAGAGAGGUUAGGUACAUUGCCCAGAGUCACACAGCUAGUAUCUCAGUCUGGCUUCCCUGGAAAACAGAGCCUGAGGCAAAUCUUAUGUGCUAAUGCUUUAUUGGGGAUGUGAACCCAGUCCAGUAAGGGACUUCCCUUCUGAAAGGGGACCUGGAGGCAGGGAAGGAGGGAGAGCAAAUCUAAGACAUGCCAAAUGGGGCUGGCCUCAGAAUCUCAAGGAACCAUCCAGGAGCUCCAUCACCCUGGGAAUCUCCGCAGGGACAGACCUCCGCAGGGACUAUGGGCGAUAUGUGACCUGCUGGCACCUGCCGUUUCCCGUCUACCUUAGUGGCAGUUAGGGCCAGUCACUCCUCACUUCUGGGUCGGGUCCUGCACCCCUGCUGCCCCAGGGAAGCCACUUCCUUGCUCACCUGAGAAGGGAAGAGAGGACCCCGAGUUCCGUCCCUCACAGGGUGUGGUCCGGGCAGUUUGGACUGCAGCUGGGGUGUUGGGAGCCUGGGCUGGGAUUCAGGCCACACCCCUGCAGGCUCAGCUGGCCAAGUGACUGGGCAGCUGACCCAGGCCACCUGCAGGGGGAGGUGAGCCGAGGCUGGAGGGAGUCCAGAGGGACAGAGCCCAGGUCACCUGCAAAGGUGUGUCCAUCAAACUGACACCCUAGUAAACACCAGAGCUGGGAUCCUGAUCCCUCCAAAGGCCAUCAGCGAACAUUGAUUGACAGAAAAACGAAUCAAUGAGUGAGUGAUUGAAUGAGGAGGGGGCCAGAGCAACUACCUGGUCCAGGGGCGCCAGGUGGAGAGGCUGAGGCCCAGAGAGGCCGGGCGGCCCUAACUAAGGUCACACCUAUAGGGCGCAGCAGGGACCCUAGCGUGUUCCAGACUUUUCUGGUCAGGUUUUCUGCACGGGGCUUGCUGGACCCUCCUGUGUCUGAGAGUGCCCGCCCGUCCAUGCUCGUGUUCGCCAGCAUUUUUGGAACACCGAGGUGACACCUCUUACUCUCACCUGCCCAGGGCCCACCCCUGUCCUGUCACACCCCCUCAGUCUUCCUCCUGGAGCCCAUCCCAUCCCCCAUCCUCCAUCCACGUGGGUGUUUUUUUUUUUUUGAGCGGGUGAGCCUCAUGGUAUCCCCGCCCUAUCCCAGUUCCAAACCCCAACCCCCAAUCCUGAGCCCCAGGAACUGGAUGAGAACGUCUCAUGUCCCUGGCCACGGGAUUGAUUCAGGGAUGGGCACGUGACCCAAGCUUGUCCAAUGAGAAUUCAUCACAACACUUGCAACAGCUGUGCAGAGAGAAGAGCUUCUUUACUCCAGGAUUGUGGAGCCUGAGAAUGUCAGCCCGAAGCCACCCGAGGCCAACACUGUCAGGAGAAUCUGCCUGAGAAUGAAGGCAGCUGAGCAGAAAACACAGCUGAGAAGGGCAGACAGACAAAAGGAUCUUGAAGACGUGGCUUAUCCACCUGGAUCCAGCCAUGCCUGAAGCUGCACCACAGGAUUUCCAGUUAUGUGCCGAGUCUUGUGCUGAAUGCUGGGGGAGAGAUAUUUAAGACACAGCGCCUGGCUUUGGGGAGUUCACAGCUUGUAGAGAAGGUCCUGAUGGGAAUACAGAGAACUAUGUCUGCCCUGGCCUGGGGCAGAGCUCUGACAGGUAGUGACCUGUGGCCAGACCCGAGAUUGUAAGUCAGUGAAUCCCCUUCUCCUGCCCAGGGACCAGCAACCCCCGCCCAACCCCAUGGGGCUGACUUUUCCUACUGUACCCAGCCCACCCAGCCCCCAAGUGAAAGGCUGUUGAUUUAAGGAACCCCGAGAGAAAACACAAGGUGUGGCCUCCUGCUGGCCAGUCACCUGGGUCCUUGUCUACCUGAAGAUUCUCUUCAAAGGCAGCGGGGUCUCUUGCAAGAUCAAGACUUAGAUCCAAAGCCAGACACGGACCGGGGGGCGGCCACCUCGGAGCCUGGACCUAAGGCGUGGUGGCCGGAGAGAAGGGCCCUCCAGGUGAGGAGGGUGAGGGUGGGAGCCUGCUGGCCCAGCACGCCCAGGCUCCGGGGGUCCUGGAGCCCCAGAGGUCAUAGACGGUAUUGGGGGCACAUGCGUCAUUGAGCCUCCACAGGGAAAAACUAACUCCUGUGUUGGGGGACCCUUCACUCCACAAGGGGGAGCUCCGCUGGGCCAGGACACGGCUCAGAGCCACCGCGUCGUUUGUCUCAGGGGGCUCAGCCACCUCGCCAGGAACUGCACCAGAAAUCAGCGGCCCCUGGCAUCCGAGGAGCAGUGGGAGAAUCAGAUGGGGGACCCUAGUGGCAGCCCUUCCCAGUCCCGAGGGGUCUAGCUUCAGCUGGACGCCACCUGGACCCCCAGGCUGGGUGGGGUCCUGCUCUUUGCUCUCACCUGCCAGCCUGGCGGGGAGCAUGCCCGUGUGGGUCUGUGGGUGGCGGGUUGGCACCAGUGCACAGCCUGGGCUCACGAUGACGUCACGCUCAGCCACCUCCCUCCCCUGGCACACCUGCUCCUUGGGCAGGUUCCCAGUGUCACCUGACGCCAGCUCCCUCGUCCCAGGUGCCCAGGACAAAAGUCCAGGGUCUGCCUGGCCUCCCAGCUUCCUCUACCACACCCCAGCUCCCCCUGGGCAGCCCUGGCCACGGCCUUCCCCCUACCUGUUGCCAAGUCGCAGCCCUGGCUGAAGACCCUCAGCUCCCUGCGGUGACCCCUCUCCCUGUUCCUCACCCAGGGCCAGAGAGGUUCCCCGCCUGCUUGAGACCACCGGAGACUCCCCGGCUGCUCAGAAGUCAAAAGCCAAAGCCCUGUUGUUGUGACAAGCCCACCAUGCUCCCUCCUCUCCUCCCCGCCACAUGGGCCUCGCUGCCUCAUUAGACCCUUGCACACCCCAGGACUCUUGCACCUGCUCCUCCAGAGGCCAAAGCCUUCACCACCCCUGACCAGGUGGCUCCUCCUUCACCCACUCCAGGUCCUUGUUCAAAGGUCACCUUCUCCUGAGGUUUCCCGUGACCAUCCCGUCCCUUCCAGGCUUCGCUUUUCUUGUGGUUCUUAUUCAGAUCAAGCGUCUCCUUGGUAUCUCGAUCCCCCCUAGCUGUAAGGGCCCCCAGAGGGGCUGCCUGUCUUCCCCCUGCUGCUGAACCCCCCGCACCUGGAACCGUCCCUGGAACACGGCGGAGUCGUAAUGUUGGUUGGGUGGAUGGCCACAUGGACAUGUUCUGUUACCCUGUUUGUCUGUCUUUCCCACCAAACUCUAAACUCCUUGAGGCGAAGGACUCUGCCCUGUUUGCCAUUGUAAUCUAGGGGUGGGGGGCGGGGGCCACUUUGGGGGGCACGUGGACGUUGAAGGAAUGAUCCCAACCUUCGAUUCACGGAGAGGGACAUGGAGGCUGGGGGCAGAGAGACUCCAGGCCUCCCAAUUCUGCUCCCGAGACUCCCGUGGCCGGCUGUCCCUCCUGGACCACCUGUGUGCUCCCAAUGACAGCAGGUGGCAGAGACGUCCUGCCCUGACCCUGAGCAGUCCCGGGAAGCCGCCUGUAAGAUGGAGUUGAUGCAACCAGCAGCGACCUCAUGGGGUGGCCGGGAGGCUUACAGGAAGGGAUGCACUGGAAGUGUUGGGUCCGGGCCAGGACAGAGGGACAAAGCGGCCAGUCUCUCCCAAGCCUCCCUUGGGUGCCCCCCAGCUCCGUGGAGCCUGCCUGGAUGUGCUUUGGGGCCGUAGCGCCUCAUUUAGCUUUCUGGCACCUGUUCUGUCGGAGUGACUUCCCCAGGUGACACUGGCAUUGUUUGGGGAACGGAGCUCCUUUCAAGGUCAGAAACACCCUGCGAGCUCCUGGUGCAGCCAGGGAGAGGCAGCUCCCUGCCAGUCCCGCCGCUCUCUCGGCUCCCUGGCUGGAAUCCAGCCCUGGGACCCUGCCGAGGCCGGAGAGGCUACUUUGGGAGGAUGGGGGCUGGGAGGGGGCCUCCAUCCUCAGGGGGCCGCAUCUUGCAGGUUAUGGAGCCAGGAGUCUAAUCCUGGACUAAAAAGCCCUUGAACCUGACCCUGAGCUGCCCGCCUGGGCUUGUCUCUGCCCGUCCCCUACACAAUGCAGUCUGUCCCCUGCAAUAUUACAGCCACCUGCACCCCCUUUGCGACAGGCUGGCAGAGUGCCCCCCACUCCUGGACUCCGCCUCGGUUGUGAUUUGGGGGUGAAGGGACUCUGGACCAGCUUGCUGGUUUAAUUGCCGUUGGAAAACCAGAGUCGUGCCCUCCAUGAUUCGACGGGUCCCCAAAGUCCCCGUAUUGGAAGCUGAAUUGUUCAUGGUCUUUGGAGGUGGGACUUUGGGAAGAUCAUGGGGGUUAAACGAGGUAUGACAUUUAACCUGUAAUGGCAUCUGUGGCUCUCUAAGGCCAGGAGGAAGGACGAAGCCAGCGUGCUUGUCCCUCCGGGAGGGACUCUGCCAUGCUGGGGCGCAGUGAGAAGGCCCCCACCAGGUGGCGCCCCACGCUCUUGGCCUCCCAGAGUCCAGACUCCAGGAAGCCCUCCAGGAGGCUGGGAGGAGGGAGCCAAGGGGCAGGAGGCGGCUGGGACCCCAGGCAUCGUGUGGCCCUCUGGGUGGAGGCAGACCCUCUGACCGAGAGGGAAGGAGAGAAGGAUGGGAGGACAGAGGACAGACACACGGGAGGGACUGUGCUCUGCAGAAGUGGCGCGGGCAGGGUCCCCUCUGCCUGGGCUCUGACCCCCCUCCUGGACUCCGCGAUUCCUCUUCCAGAUGCGUCAGGGCCGAGCCCCGGACCCCUGCAGCUCUUGGUGUCCCCCAUCCCCCGCUGGAUGGCCAGGCUGGAGGGGGCUGCUGAACCGGGCUCGGGGCACAGGCCAGGUGCCGGGCUGGAGGGCACCUUGUCCCUGCCGUCUCCACCAUUAACCUUGCCCUGGCUCCCAGGUGACCAGUGCCGGAUGGUGGGCAGCGUGUGGGCAGCCCUGGGGCUCUCCCUCAGCUGCAUCUCAGCCCUUGGCCUCGUCUCCCGGCCUGGUUCCAGGCCCCCACCUUCCCCUACUGCUCCUGGCCUCAGGGUGACAGCUGGAACCAGAGCUGAAUGACCUUCACAUCCUUGGAGGACAUUCCUGAGGUGGCCUCCCCAGUUCCUUGGGCCCUCGGGGACACAGCAACUCAUCAGGACAGAGAACGGACUCCAGUGAGGUGGGGUGUGAGGGUCCUUUGUUAUCACCCAGACGUCCCUGCAACUAUGAAGACACCAUUAGGUGUACCAGGUUCUUAAACCUGGUGGCCCUUCAGAGACACCUGCAGAACUUAACAAAACUGCCAAGUCCUGGGGUCCACCUGGACCUCUGGCUCUGCAGGUGUGGGGUGGGUCUGGCUAUAUUUUAGCAAACACCCAGGAUGAUUUCAAAGGCAGCAGCCAGCCAGGUGUGGUGGCGCAGGCCUGUCAUCCCAGCAGCAUAGGAGGCUGAGUUGGGAGGAUUGCAAGUUCAAAGCCAGCCUCAGCAACUUAGUGAGGACUUAAGCAACUUAGCAAGAACCUGUCUUCAAAUAAAAAUUAAAAAGAGCUGGGGAUGUGGCUCAGCGGGUAAGUGCCCCAGAGUUCAAUUCCCGGAACCCAGAACAAAACCAAACCAAAGCCAGCUCCAGGACACUACAGUGCCAUCUGCUGGAAGUUCACUGUCAUGAAUUUUGCAAAUCCAAGAUGAUCCCAGAUUCACCUAGAGUUGUGCAGUGUACAACCUGCACGCUCCUACUUGGUUACCCUCUAAGCUCUGCUAAGUUUGAAAAUGAAAGCUGAGAUGUGGACGUCCUUGUGUUGCUGCUCAUUACCCAAACCAGCAACAGAGCAAAUGGGUGCCCUGUCUGGCACCUCUAGACUGACCACAAAGGAGACGUUACAGGUGCCUCUCCCGGGGAUGCCGAUGUGCAGGGUAGUGAGCGCUUGAUGAUACAGGCCGGGAGGUGGUCGGUGGGUCUGGAUCUCAGUUCUGGCUCCACCACUGAAUUAUCUGUGGCCUGAGCCAAAUCUCUCCCGGGGCCUCCGGCUGUUUGUAGAAACAGGACAUAGUGGACAGAACUCUUGGGGAUGUUUUGAGGACACAGUGGCUGGUCAAGAAGCAAAUGGAGGAGUGUCCGAUGCCCGUCCUGACCCUUCCUCUGCCCUCUUCCUGGCAGGCUGCAGCUGUGAUGCUCCUGGGAGGCUGGCUCCCGCUGGCCUCCAGUGCGGGCCUCCUCCUGUCCUGGGCACUGGCCUCCAAAGACUGUGUCCGAGGAGGGGCGGUGGACUGAUGCCAGGGCUACAGGCCGUGGCAGGGAAGCCACUGGUCAUCCCAAGCCCUCGAGACGCAUUUGCCGAAUGAGUGAAUGAAUGAGCUGUGAGCAGCGUCUGGUCUCCUAAGACAGAUGGCAGAGUUAAGCCCUAGGAUUGUGACCUAUUCUUGGUCCUUAAGCAAGCUGGAAAUUGCUGGGGGUCCGGGAUGAUGGCAUCUUGAUGCAGCCUACUCCUGCCCUGAGCCAACCCAGUUCUUUGAUUCUCUCUUAUCCAUUUGUGUCCUCUGUACCUGGGUGACCCUACACAGUUGGGGAGGUUGUGCACUGCACAAUCAUACCCGGCUAAGAGCUGAGAGAUGCUGACCUCCAGCUGCUGCCCCACUUGCUAAGCCGUAGACACACAAGACUGCACCUGCGGAGGGGGUUGCUUUUCUGAUAUUCACACGCAGCCCCUGGAUGCACCAGCCCAUCUUGACUGCAGCUCUCAGUCCAGUAACUCUCCACCGUGGGUGAAGGUGACCAGCACCCGGCAGGUCUCCCUGCUGCCCGACCCCACCCCCCGCCCCCAGUCGGUCUGCCGCACACUGGACAAACAGGUCCUGCUGAAAGUGAAAUGGGAUCCCGCCAGGCAGGCUGGCUCCUCCACUCUCUGGUGGCUUCCUGUCACAGAGUGAAAUCCAAACUCCGGGUCCAGCCUCUGGGGCUCCCCAGACCCAGGCCUCCCCUCUCCACCGCCUCAUCUUUCCCUCCUGUGCCGGGCUCCACUCCAACCCACUGUCCUUUGCUCCUGUCCCUCCUGCUUGUCCCUCUGCCUGCAACCCGGUUUCCCCAGAUCUUGCCACACCCCGCUCCCCCUGUCUGCUCGGACGCCCUGCCUCCCUGACCUCUGGCAGCUUCUCUCUCCUGCGCUUCGUCCUCCCCGGCUUUAGACCUUCACCCACUUACUUGCUUAUCUGAAAUCCCUUCCCCGUCUCCCAGAUCACUGUCCGUCUUUAUCCACUUGCUCCUGAGAGGGCAAGGACGUAGCCAUCUGCCUCCACAUCCCUGUCGCCCACAAGGUGCCUCACUUAUGAUAAAUGUCCUGCCUUCCAAAUAUUUGUUCAGUCACUGGAUGAAGACGCAACUUUUGUCCUCAGCUUUCAGGGGGAGCAGCAUCUGGCAGUUACAAUGUAUCUUAGUCUGUUUUGUGGUACUGUCAGGAAAUACCCGAGGGUGGUAACAUUAUAAAGAAAAAGUGGUGGGUUUUUUGUUUUUUUUUUUAAUCUUAAUAGUUCUAGAAGCUCCAGGUCAAGGGGCUGCAUAGGGUGGUGGCCUUCUUGCUGGCUGUGUCCUGAGUCAGUGCAGGGCAUCGUAUGGUGGGAGACGGGAGUGUCCAUGUUUGUCCUCCGGUCUCUCCUCCUCCUCUUACUCACACCUGGAGGCCCAGCCUGAUGACCUUUCUACUCUGGAUCACCUCCCCAGAGCCCCCCGCUCCACACAUCUCCAGGGUAGGUGGGCACCCCCCACUCACGGUGGGUGUUAGACGUGACACGGGAGCCGUGGGGAGGCACGGACUCCAUACCCAACUGCGGUGCAGCCCCAAGACGUGUGAUGCCGUGGGACCCGGGAUGGCAGGAGCUCCGGCAGGGGGGGGGGCACCAGGGCAUCUGGUGACUGCAGCCUCAGGGGUGAAGGCUGGAGACCCAAGCUGUGAAGGGACGGUGGCUGGGGGUGGCAGGGGUGGGGACAUGCAGAGUCUCUUGGAGGCCCUCCUCCAGCUCACGUCAUUUCUGUCACUAGUGUCACCACGGCACGUCCAGCGGCUUCUUAGGCUGUUAGCUGGUUGUCUUCAUGGACCUCUAUUCAGUUUGAAGGGAGAUGGCAGGGGGGGCUUCAGUCAUUCCUGGGAACCUGUGACUCCAGCGUCUCCACAGUGGACACUGCCAUGAGGGCCGGGCUGGGCCGCGCUGGCCAUGACCUGUUAUUCUCGUCCCUGCUGUUUGUUAGCAGAGUGCAGCUUCAGCAGACUUAAAAACGACACAACAUUUUUAUGACAGUAGGUUAUACUUAAUAUAAAUUUAACCUUUUUAUGAUUAUUUUUGGUCCUGGGGAUUGAACCUGGGGCACUCAACCAUGGACCACAUCCACCGCCUGCUUUUUUUUUUUUUUAAUUUUCAUUGUUAGACAAGGUUCAAGGCUGGCCUUGAACUCCUGAUCCUCCUGCCUCAGCCUCCCGAGCUGCUGGGAUCACUGGCGUGGGCCACUGCACCUGACCCUGUUGACCCUUUUUAAGGGGACAGCUCAGGUGAUGAUCAAUAUAUUCAAAAUGUCUGCAGCGUUGCCACCACCCAUCCUCAGGGUUCUUUUCAUUUGUAAAAUGACAACUCUGUACCCACUGAACAGUAACUCCCAUUCCUCUCCCCGCCAGGCCCUGGCACCCCCUGUGCCUUCGAUUGUGGUGAACUUGACCCCUCUUCCUCGUGCGAAGGGUCUUACUAGUUCUCCUUUCCCUUCUGCUUACCUCACAUGGCCUGAUAUCCCUCAUCCAGGUUCUCGUUUAGGUCAGAAUUUCCUUCUAUCGUAAGGCUUAGUAAUGUCCACAGCUCUAAAUACACACACGCUUCAAAACAACAAGUCGUACCUAACAAAUAUAUUCUGAGCCGGAUGUGGUGGUUCACAACUGUCAUCCCAACCACUCGGGAGGCUGAGGCAGGAGGGCCUCAAGUUGGAGGCCAGCCUCUGGAAAUUAGUGAGGGGCUAAGGAACUUAGUGAAACCCUUUCUCACAAGAAAAAACAAAUGAAACAGGCUGUGGGUGGCCCAGUGGCUAAGCACCCCUGGGUUCCAUGCCUAGUACCAAAAAAAAAUGUAUAAAAAUACAUAUAUAUUUGUAAAUUUAAAAUGAACGCAUCUUGGGGCUGGGGAUGUGGCUCAAGCGGUAGCGUGCUCGCCUGGCAUGCGUGCGGCCUGGGUUAGAUCCUCAGCACCACAUACAAAGAUGUUGUGCCCACCGAUAACUAAAAUAAAGUAUUAAAAUUCUCUCUCUCUCUUCUCUCUCUCUCUCUACCUCUUAAAAAAAAAUGAACGCAUCAACCGUUCCUUCGCACCGGCACACCCUUCCGCUUGUCUGUUCAUCUGCGUUGGAGCCGGGGCUGUGCCACAUCAGCUGCGGGAACACGGUGCCCGACUUGGGCGCUCAGCCAGAAGGGGGGGUGGCUGAUCCCAUGGCCACCCCUGGAGCCUUCUGGGGAGGAGCUAUGGUCCUCGCAGCAGCUGCACCACCCGCUCCCACCCGCCGUGCGCAGGUCCCCAUGUCCCCCUUGCCACACUCACUUUCUGGGUUUUUGAUAGUCACCAUCCAAAUGUGUGUCGGGGACUCUCAGUGUGGCAUUGAUUUUCAUUUCUCUUGUGACAAGUCAGGUCCCUCCAACAGGCUCUGAUGGUGAGCGCACGGAUGGGCGGGGGGUGGAUGAGCUGAUGUAUGGACGGAUAGAUGGGUGGGUGGAUGCAUGGAUGGUUGGAGGAUGGGGUGGAGGGACGGCUGGGACAGUUGGUGUGACAUGCAGAGAGGUGGAUGGCUGAGUGAAUGCCUCCGUGUAGAGGGGUGGGGAGGAUGAGCUGAGUAGAAUGUGCUUGGAUGGAUGAUAACAGGUGGACGGGGGGUUGAAUGGUGGGUGGACGGCUAGUGGAUGUCGAGGCCUGGGGAAGGCCAGCCCAGUGCCCUCCCACCUUCCGUCUCUAGCCCACCAUCCAGCCUGGCCUCCCCGUUAGCCAAAGCAGUCUGCGAGGCCCCCUCCAUGCACCGUGGUGGGCAGUGCCAGCUGGGUGGGGCUAUGUCACUGCCAUCCUCAAUGCAAUCCUGGCCAGCCUCCUGCCCAUCAUCGGGUGGCCCUGAAUGACCAAGGUCCAGGGGAAUGCCAUCUUCUCCAGUGACACUGAGAAAAUUAUCCUUGUGCCAGAAGUAAGCAAAUAAAAAUCUUCCAGGAAGAACAGAAAGAGUCUACUCUACAGUUGGAUGAAAUCAUGAAUCCAUGUUCAAGUUCAGAUCCCACCUCGGCUGCUUCCUUGCUGUGUGACCCCAGGCAAGCCACUUUACCUCUCCGGACCUAUUUAUUCUUCUGUAAAAUGAAGGGUUGUUAUGACAGUUAAC